RNAcentral lists this ribosomal RNA (498 nucleotides) under Salmonella enterica subsp. enterica serovar Thompson. RNAcentral's name for it is "partial 16S ribosomal RNA". It matches the Rfam family "Bacterial small subunit ribosomal RNA", at positions 1 to 488 of the family's 1533-position model. Lineage: Bacteria; Pseudomonadati; Pseudomonadota; Gammaproteobacteria; Enterobacterales; Enterobacteriaceae. The record is from RNAcentral. RNAcentral also lists the same sequence under 1 other name.
AAAUUGAAGAGUUUGAUCAUGGCUCAGAUUGAACGCUGGCGGCAGGCCUAACACAUGCAAGUCGAACGGUAACAGGAAGCAGCUUGCUGCUUUGCUGACGAGUGGCGGACGGGUGAGUAAUGUCUGGGAAACUGCCUGAUGGAGGGGGAUAACUACUGGAAACGGUGGCUAAUACCGCAUAACGUCGCAAGACCAAAGAGGGGGACCUUCGGGCCUCUUGCCAUCAGAUGUGCCCAGAUGGGAUUAGCUAGUUGGUGAGGUAACGGCUCACCAAGGCGACGAUCCCUAGCUGGUCUGAGAGGAUGACCAGCCACACUGGAACUGAGACACGGUCCAGACUCCUACGGGAGGCAGCAGUGGGGAAUAUUGCACAAUGGGCGCAAGCCUGAUGCAGCCAUGCCGCGUGUAUGAAGAAGGCCUUAGGGUUGUAAAGUACUUUCAGCGGGGAGGAAGGUGUUGCGGUUAAUAACCGCAGCAAUUGACGUUACCCGCAGAAGA